This 385-nucleotide ribosomal RNA is filed under the name uncultured bacterium. RNAcentral describes it as "bacterial SSU rRNA". It matches the Rfam family "Bacterial small subunit ribosomal RNA", at positions 30 to 417 of the family's 1533-position model. The record is from RNAcentral.
AUUGAACGCUGGCGGCAUGCCUUACACAUGCAAGUCGAACGGCAGCACGGGAGCAAUCCUGGUGGCGAGUGGCGAACGGGUGAGUAAUAUAUCGGAACGUACCUUUCAGUGGGGGAUAACGUAGCGAAAGUUACGCUAAUACCGCAUAUUCUGUGAGCAGGAAAGCAGGGGAUCGCAAGACCUUGCGCUGAUUGAGCGGCCGAUAUCAGAUUAGCUAGUUGGUGAGGUAAAGGCUCACCAAGGCGACGAUCUGUAGCGGGUCUGAGAGGAUGAUCCGCCACACUGGAACUGAGACACGGUCCAGACUCCUACGGGAGGCAGCAGUGGGAAUUUGGACAAUGGGGGCAACCCUGAUCCAGCCAUGCCGCGUGAGUGAAGAAGGCCU